AUUGAACGCUGGCGGAAUGCUUUACACAUGCAAGUCGAACGGCAGCACGGGGGCAACCCUGGUGGCGAGUGGCGACCGGGUGAGUAAUACAUCGGAACGUGCCCAGUCGUGGGGGCUAACGUAGCGAAAGUUACUCUAAUACCGCAUCCGAUCUACGGAUGAAAGCGGGGGACCGUAAGGCCUCGCGCGAUUGGAGCGGCCGAUGUCAGAUUAGGUAGUGUGUGCGGUAAAGGCUCACCAAGCCGACGAUCCGUAGCUGGUCUGAGAGGACGACCAGCCACACUGGGACUGAGACACGGCCCAGACUACUACGGGAGGCAGCAGUGGGGAAUUUUGGACAAUGGGCGCAAGCCUGAUCCAGCCAUUCCGCGUGCAGGACGAAGGCCUUCGGGUUGUAAACUGCUUUUGUACGGAACGAAAAGGCUCUGGUUAAUACCUGGGGCUCAUGACGGUACCGUAAGAAUAAGCACCGGCUAACUACGUGCCAGCAGCCGCCGUAA
RNAcentral lists this ribosomal RNA (500 nucleotides) under uncultured bacterium. RNAcentral's name for it is "partial 16S ribosomal RNA". It matches the Rfam family "Bacterial small subunit ribosomal RNA", at positions 30 to 523 of the family's 1533-position model. The record is from RNAcentral.